Molecule: ribosomal RNA, 491 nt
Filed under: Escherichia coli
Lineage: Bacteria; Pseudomonadati; Pseudomonadota; Gammaproteobacteria; Enterobacterales; Enterobacteriaceae
Description: bacterial SSU rRNA
Rfam family: Bacterial small subunit ribosomal RNA
Source: RNAcentral
ACAGGUGCUGCAUGGCUGUCGUCAGCUCGUGUUGUGAAAUGUUGGGUUAAGUCCCGCAACGAGCGCAACCCUUAUCCUUUGUUGCCAGCGGUCCGGCCGGGAACUCAAAGGAGACUGCCAGUGAUAAACUGGAGGAAGGUGGGGAUGACGUCAAGUCAUCAUGGCCCUUACGACCAGGGCUACACACGUGCUACAAUGGCGCAUACAAAGAGAAGCGACCUCGCGAGAGCAAGCGGACCUCAUAAAGUGCGUCGUAGUCCGGAUUGGAGUCUGCAACUCGACUCCAUGAAGUCGGAAUCGCUAGUAAUCGUGGAUCAGAAUGCCACGGUGAAUACGUUCCCGGGCCUUGUACACACCGCCCGUCACACCAUGGGAGUGGGUUGCAAAAGAAGUAGGUAGCUUAACCUUCGGGAGGGCGCUUACCACUUUGUGAUUCAUGACUGGGGUGAAGUCGUAACAAGGUAACCGUAGGGGAACCUGCGGUUGGAUCA